Mya arenaria is the source of this 823-nucleotide long non-coding RNA. RefSeq lists it as uncharacterized. Lineage: Eukaryota; Metazoa; Mollusca; Bivalvia; Myida; Myidae. The record is from RefSeq and is a predicted model, not a curated record. The transcript has 3 exons.
ACCCGAAGUUUGGAUUCUGGUGAGGAUAUAAUCGUAAAAUGCAAAUACUUGGACAAGCCAAGCAGUAAACAAUUUUCUAGCUCAAGAUGAUGCUACAAUGUUUAUUGGCAAAGCAUAAUAUAUAAGACAAAGGCUGUGAUUAAUUAUUUAUCGGGAACAGGAUGUUCCACGUAUGCCUCGAAUUAUUACGCAAUGGAAGUCACAUGAUGAAUUUGGAAAAUUAAUGAUAUAGCAGAACAUUGGAAAAACAAUACACAGUCCUUUUCCCGGCGUCUGUUGAAUGACGACAUAAACUGUGUUAUUUGUGUGAGGGGAUUGUCUUAAAAUGGACAUUAUCGGCGCCAGUAAUAAAACUUAUACGGCACAGAAGCUUACUGGAUGGGCGUAUAAUUUAGAUCCCGAUAAAACACCGUAUAUUCCAACGUCUGUGUUUGUUGCUGGGUGUGUGCUCCUAGGGAUUGUCGUUCUCACAUGUUGCGCAUGCGCAGUCGUUGCCGAAGUCAGACGAAAAUGCAUAGAAAGGAAGGAAAAAAAGAUAGAAAACGCGGAAAAGUUUUUAAAAAAAAAAUACGUCAACAUAUGUUUAACAAUUAUUUAUUGGAAAAUGACUAUGUUUCAGAGUAUGUUUAAUUCAAGGAAAUAGUCCUGAUCAUUCUUUAAAGGUCGAGGAGAUAAGAUGUGAUUUAUAUCAAUCAUAAUACAACAGUUUACACUUAACUGAAUGACGAUCAAAUCAAUUCGUUUUGUCCAUUUAUAAUAGCAUCAACAUCAUCUUUAUUUAUGUUAACUAAUGCCUGCGUCUGAAAUAAACGUUAAACAUGAA